Molecule: ribosomal RNA, 587 nt
Filed under: Psychrobacter sp. Hp12
Lineage: Bacteria; Pseudomonadati; Pseudomonadota; Gammaproteobacteria; Moraxellales; Moraxellaceae
Description: bacterial SSU rRNA
Rfam family: Bacterial small subunit ribosomal RNA
Source: RNAcentral
UCGAGCGGAAACGAUGAUAGCUUGCUAUCAGGCGUCGAGCGGCGGACGGGUGAGUAAUACUUAGGAAUCUACCUAGUAGUGGGGGAUAGCACGGGGAAACUCGUAUUAAUACCGCAUACGACCUACGGGAGAAAGGGGGCAGUUUACUGCUCUCGCUAUUAGAUGAGCCUAAGUCGGAUUAGCUAGAUGGUGGGGUAAAGGCCUACCAUGGCGACGAUCUGUAGCUGGUCUGAGAGGAUGAUCAGCCACACCGGGACUGAGACACGGCCCGGACUCCUACGGGAGGCAGCAGUGGGGAAUAUUGGACAAUGGGGGAAACCCUGAUCCAGCCAUGCCGCGUGUGUGAAGAAGGCCUUUUGGUUGUAAAGCACUUUAAGCAGUGAAGAAGACUCCUCGGUUAAUACCCGUGGACGAUGACAUUAGCUGCAGAAUAAGCACCGGCUAACUCUGUGCCAGCAGCCGCGGUAAUACAGAGGGUGCAAGCGUUAAUCGGAAUUACUGGGCGUAAAGGGAGCGUAGGUGGCUCGAUAAGUCAGAUGUGAAAUCCCCGGGCUCAACCUGGGAACUGCAUCUGAUACUGUUGAGCU